UAUCAGGGUUGUCACAAUAUAGUAAAGUAUCACAGGUAUCAUCCUAUCAGGGUUGUCACAAUAUAGUAAAGUAUCACAGGUAUCAUCCUAUCAGGGUUGUCACAGUAUAGUAAAGUAUCACAGGUAUCAGGGUUGUCACAAUAUAGUAAAGUAUCACAGGUAUCAUCCUAUCAGGGUUGUCACAAUAUAGUAAAGUAUCACAGGUAUCAUCCUAUCAGGGUUGUCACAGUAUAGUAAAGUAUCACAGGUAUCAGGGUUGUCACAAUAUAGUAAAGUAUCACAGGUAUCAUCCUAUCAGGGUUGUCACAAUAUAGUAAAGUAUCACAGGUAUCAUCCUAUCAGGGUUGUCACAGUAUAGUAAAG
Molecule: long non-coding RNA, 363 nt
Organism: Mizuhopecten yessoensis (Yesso scallop)
Lineage: Eukaryota; Metazoa; Mollusca; Bivalvia; Pectinida; Pectinidae
Exons: 4
Source: RefSeq, a predicted model, not a curated record